AGUGAACGCUGGCGGUAGGCCUAACACAUGCAAGUCGAACGGCAGCACAGUAAGAGCUUGCUCUUACGGGUGGCGAGUGGCGGACGGGUGAGGAAUACAUCGGAAUCUACUUUUUCGUGGGGGAUAACGUAGGGAAACUUACGCUAAUACCGCAUACGACCUACGGGUGAAAGCAGGGGAUCUUCGGACCUUGCGCGAUUGAAUGAGCCGAUGUCGGAUUAGCUAGUUGGCGGGGUAAAGGCCCACCAAGGCGACGAUCCGUAGCUGGUCUGAGAGGAUGAUCAGCCACACUGGAACUGAGACACAGUCCAGACUCCUACGGGAGGCAGCAGCGGGGAAUAUUGGACAAUGGGCGCAAGCCUGAUCCAGCCAUACCGCGUGGGUGAAGAAGGCCUUCGGGUUGUAAAGCCCUUUUGUUGGGAAAGAAAAGCAGCAGGUUAAUACCCCGCUGUUCUGACGGUACCCAAAGAAUAAGCACCGGCUAACUUCGUG
RNAcentral lists this ribosomal RNA (492 nucleotides) under uncultured bacterium. RNAcentral's name for it is "partial 16S ribosomal RNA". It matches the Rfam family "Bacterial small subunit ribosomal RNA", at positions 29 to 507 of the family's 1533-position model. The record is from RNAcentral.